This 256-nucleotide ribosomal RNA is filed under the name uncultured bacterium. Its description in RNAcentral is "partial 16S ribosomal RNA". It matches the Rfam family "Bacterial small subunit ribosomal RNA", at positions 524 to 776 of the family's 1533-position model. The record is from RNAcentral.
UACGUAGGGUGCGAGCGUUGUCCGGAAUUAUUGGGCGUAAAGAGCUUGUAGGCGGUUUGUCGCGUCUGCUGUGAAAAUCCGGGGCUCAACCCCGGACUUGCAGUGGGUACGGGCAGACUAGAGUGUGGUAGGGGAGACUGGAAUUCCUGGUGUAGCGGUGAAAUGCGCAGAUAUCAGGAGGAACACCGAUGGCGAAGGCAGGUCUCUGGGCCACUACUGACGCUGGAGAAGCGGAAAAGCAUGGGGAGCGAACAGG